GCCCGGAUAGCUCAGUCGGUAGAGCAGAGGAUUGAAAAUCCUCGUGUCGGUGGUUCGAUUCCGCUCCGGGCACCA
RNAcentral lists this transfer RNA (75 nucleotides) under Vibrio parahaemolyticus. RNAcentral describes it as "tRNA-Phe". It matches the Rfam family "tRNA". Rfam says of the family: Transfer RNA (tRNA) molecules are approximately 80 nucleotides in length. Their secondary structure includes four short double-helical elements and three loops (D, anti-codon, and T loops). The record is from RNAcentral. Lineage: Bacteria; Pseudomonadati; Pseudomonadota; Gammaproteobacteria; Vibrionales; Vibrionaceae.